RNAcentral lists this long non-coding RNA (856 nucleotides) under Ananas comosus (pineapple). RNAcentral's name for it is "long non-coding RNA (ACOM_LNC021622)". The record is from RNAcentral. Lineage: Eukaryota; Viridiplantae; Streptophyta; Magnoliopsida; Poales; Bromeliaceae.
GAACAUACUGUAUGCCUAGAACUGGUGAUGCAAAUUGUGAAACAACCGUUGUACUCUAAAAGCUUAAGUCCUUAAAGAACGGUGUUUAAACAUUUUUAUAUUUAACACUCCCCCUCACGUCUGGGCUCGAGACUUUUUAAUCGGCCCAUGACGUGGGCUUGAAUUAAAUGGGCCUCACGUCUGGGCUCGAGACUUUUUAAUCGGCCCAUGACGUGGGCUUAAAUUAAAUGAGAGAAAAUUAAUAUGCUAGGAGCCUGGCGUGACUCGAACUCAGGACCUCCUGCUCUGAUACCAUGUGAAACAACCGUUGUACUCUAAAAGCUUAAGCUCUUAGAGAACGGUAUUUAAACAUUUUUAUAUUUAACACAAAUAAUGCUGUAUCUAUCAGAAUUUAAGCGAAUCUAGAUGCAAUUUACGAAGUCAAAGCAAUGGGUUGAAAAACCACUACAAGGGAUGGGAACGACGUCCUGACUAAAUAAAAGCUUCUUCAAUGGUUGGGUAAGCUUGUUGAGCGGAAUGAACUAUGAACUCCAAAGCCAAAGGUCUCCUCUCCAACAGAUUCGGACGGGGAUGCUGCUUUUCUGAUCAUAGGACUUACAUAGGGAUGUUAGUUCGGUAAGAUUGGCGUGCAUGUUGCUUCCUAUUCAGUGAUAAGUCUCAUAUCAUCGAUAUGAUAUACCAGAGCAAAUACAAAGGUGGUUGCUGUAAAAUAAGGGUACAAAGUAUGACCAUCUAUAAAACUAUCACUUGGAUAUCUACUUACCCAUUAAUGACAAGUUUGAGCUAUGGUGAUGUGAGUAAUUUUUUGACCUGAAAUGCUGUGACCAUUAAAUGUCGACACCAUUGUGGUUUAAUC